UACGUAGGGGGCAAGCGUUGUCCGGAAUUAUUGGGCGUAAAGAGCGCGUAGGCGGUCCGGUAAGUCGGUUGUGAAAGUCGGGGGCUCAACCCUCGGAUGCCGGUGGAUACUGUCGGGCUUGAGUACGGAAGAGGCGAGUGGAAUUCCUGGUGUAGCGGUGAAAUGCGCAGAUAUCGGGAGGAACACCAAUGGCGAAGGCAGCUCGCUGGGACGUUACUGACGCUGAGACGCGAAAGCGUGGGGAGCAAACAGG
Molecule: ribosomal RNA, 253 nt
Filed under: uncultured bacterium
Lineage: Bacteria
Description: partial 16S ribosomal RNA
Rfam family: Bacterial small subunit ribosomal RNA
Source: RNAcentral